AAAGCGUGCGCAGGCGGUUUUGUAAGUCUGAUGUGAAAUCCCCGGGCUCAACCUGGGAAUUGCAUUGGAGACUGCAAGGCUAGAAUCUGGCAGAGGGGGGUAGAAUUCCACGUGUAGCAGUGAAAUGCGUAGAUAUGUGGAGGAACACCGAUGGCGAAGGCAGCCCCCUGGGUCAAGAUUGACGCUCAUGCACGAAAGCGUGGGGAGCAAACAGGAUUAGAUACCCCUGU
This 230-nucleotide ribosomal RNA is filed under the name uncultured bacterium. RNAcentral's name for it is "partial 16S ribosomal RNA". It matches the Rfam family "Bacterial small subunit ribosomal RNA", at positions 562 to 791 of the family's 1533-position model. The record is from RNAcentral.